Molecule: long non-coding RNA, 532 nt
Filed under: Fragaria vesca (wild strawberry)
Lineage: Eukaryota; Viridiplantae; Streptophyta; Magnoliopsida; Rosales; Rosaceae
Description: long non-coding RNA (FVES_LNC003764)
Source: RNAcentral
CCGACUUGGCUGCCAGUUGUCGGGACGGGUCGGCAAAGCGGUGAAGGUCAGACAACCCAGUCGGGUCGGAACGCUAUUUCUGUGCUUCGAUAUGAAGGAACGGGACGCACAAUCUCUAUGACUGGCAUCACUUCGUCUCGAAAUGUCAGCAUCAAUGGAUCAAUGCUGCUUGGAAAUUCUGGUUAGUUUGUAUCUAUUCCAUUUCCAAUAUCUUUGAUUAUGAUGAUUUUUGAGAUCAGUUUUGUUCUUGGUACACUGGGUAUUAGAGGUCUACUUCACAAAUAUUAAUUUGGGGCAUAUUGAUUUGUAAAGACUGUUCUCUCACCGAUCGUCUCUCCAAUGCUCCAAGUGUGAAAUUCAUCGUCUCAUUGCUUCGACUUGCCGACACCAGGUCCCAUCUCCUCUCUCUCUCUCUCUCUCUCUCUCUCUCUCUCUCUCUCUCUACCUCCUCCUNNNNNNNNNNNNNNNNNNNNGUGGAACAUGUAGAAAGAGAGGACACAACAUGCGAACUUGUGAUGCAAGAGCUGACAGG